GAUGAAGAACGUAGCGAAAUGCGAUAAGUAAUGUGAAUUGCAGAAUUCAGUGAAUCAUCGAAUCUUUGAACGCACAUUGCGCCCGCCAGCAUUCUGGCGGGCAUGCCUGUUCGAGCGUCAUUAUAACCCCUCAAGCUCAGCUUGGUGUUGGGGCCUGCUGCACUGGCAGCCCUUAAAAUCAGUGGCGGCGCCAUCUGGCUCUAAGCGUAGUAAUUCUUCUCGCUAUGGAGUCCUGGUGGAUGCUUGCCAUCAACCCCCAAUUUUUCUAUGGUUGACCUCGGAUCAGGUAGGGAUACCCGCUGAACUUAAGCAUAUCAAUAAGCGGAGGA
This 329-nucleotide unclassified non-coding RNA is filed under the name soil metagenome. Its description in RNAcentral is "partial contains 5.8S ribosomal RNA, internal transcribed spacer 2, and large subunit ribosomal RNA". The stretch from base 1 to 120 matches the Rfam family "5.8S ribosomal RNA", at positions 35 to 154 of the family's 154-position model. The record is from RNAcentral.